CGCCCCGCUAGCUCCCCGCCUGCACCCCUGGCAGCCACCCGAGACUGAGCAGAGCGCCAGGCUGAGCGCAGUUCUGUGCUGGGGCGACCGGGCUCUGUGGUCCGCGUGGCACAAACGUGACCCACCGCGCACACCUGCAGGGCGCGCCCACUCCCGCACUCACUCGGCUGGGCGCGCCAGAUUCCCAGCAGAGCAGCCAAGGGCCACGUUUCCAGCCCAAGGCCAGCAGGACCGAGUCGCAAAGGGAAGUCAAACUGUCGGUGCUUCCGGACGGCGGCGGACGGCCAGACCCUCACCUGGUAGCGAGUCGCCAACUCCAUGCUUCCUGACGGGGCGCCAGUCUCCUCCCAGCACGCGGCCACGGGAGCCCGGACUCGCCACGGCCCGGCGCACCAAGAACGCCCCGCACCCGAGCAGCCAGCGCGCAGCGCCCGGAGCACAGGCGGGCCCCGGGAGGGGCGCACUCGGCGCUCGGGACAGGGGGAGCGCGUCGCGCUGCCCGCUCGGUGCCGCCUCACUGGGCCUCGUGGCUCCGACCACCGUCCCAACUUCGCGGCCACUGACCUUGUCUUCGCAGGCGGCGCGAGAGGGGGCUGCAGUUGGGGGUGGCAUGAGCAGUUACCAGUGUUAGGGCGCCGGGUUCCCCCCUGUAGGGGAGGGAGGGAGUGGAGCCGUCCGGCGGGGUUUAGCGCGGGAGAAAUGAGGGGGCUGUCCCGGCGCAGCCUCCAGCUGGCACGCGCGCAGGAUACUUGGCAGGGUUUAUUCCAGGUCAUGCCCUAGGGCUCGAGCUUCUGCUGCAACCCCUGUCUCUGAUCCAGGAAAAUAUUGUAGGGCGGUUUUGGGGCUUGUUUUGUUUUGUUGUUGUAAAGGGGCAGCGUUCUCUUUGGGAGGAUUCCGUCUCCCAAAACAUUUGCUACAGGGUUCACUUUGCAAAACGGGCAACCCAGGUUUCUUUACCAGGGCCCCGGUGGACACUGCAAAUCCGCCUGAAACUUUAAACGGCCAUUACACAGUAGGCCUCCACACCCACCAAACAGAGUUUGUAGAGGUCAGGAAUGCUGAUUAAUUUAGCAGAAUUGACCCCGGCACCUACUAAGCAUCAGGCACUGGGUUAGUCCUAGGAACAGAAGGGUGAACAAAAACAGGCCCCUGCUCUGUUGGAGUUUACAGCCUGAGAGCCAGUUACCAACCUAAUUGCAUUAUUCUAAAUAAAUACAACAAUGAUGCAAAUAAGCGUAAUGAUAACAAUGAUGUAAAUUUUAUAAAUUAGAUUUAUAAUUAAUAUUAAUUUGAUACCACUAGCAAUGACAAAUGUAAUGAUGAUGCAAAUAAAUGUCAAUUUGGAGCGAUGAUGCCAUGAGAAAAAAGGCAAGUGGUAUUAUGGUGGUGUAAAAUAGGGAGACAAUCUGGGAGAGGUAAGGGAAUACUUCUUAGAGCUCAGGUAUGAAGAGUGAGGAAUUAAGUUUGUGGAAAUUGUGCGAGACUUGAAGUAGAGAGUGGGGAGAAUGGUAAAUGAAGUUGUCCUGAAAUCACAGCAGGUUUGCUGGACAGUGUCGAACGCCUAUUUAGAACCGUGGUCAUGGGUUUACAAUAGAGCAUCCUGUAUGCAUAGGACCUUCUGCAGCCCCUCUCAACUGCUUAGGAUCUGACGUUCAUCUUUAUUGAGUGAGUGAAUGAAAUUUGCUAAACAUUUACUCAAGCUUUAAGAGAAAACAUGGAAAAGGUUUAUUUCCUUUGGUUAGUUCAGCAAACAACAUGUGUUAUGUGCUCUCAUGUUCCAGCCCUCAGUGUUCUUACUUCCUGGUAGUAGUAAGACCAAUACAACAUUGUCUAACUUAAAAUGUUUUAUUUUUAUUGGAUGUUAAUUAUUCAUUGUAGCUACUUCAUUUUUAUUAUGCUUUAGAGUUUUCCUUCUCAUGCAGUAUCUCUUUGAAUCCUCUCAAUAUCCUUCCAGAUUCUUAUUGUCCACAUUUUUGAAAUAAGGAAACAGAAUCUAAGAAAAUACAUUUAAGAGAUCCCUGCCACCCUGCCACUAAGUGACAGCAGCAGACUGCCAAACUGAAAACCAUUCCUUAUUCCUCCAGAUCCAACAUUCUUUCCCUUUCUUGUAGUUUUUCCCUUUGGCUGCCAGGAAGCUUACAGUGAAAAUUAAUUCAAUCAGAGCUCUUCUUCCUUGUUUUGUGGGGGCUUUUUUUGUUUUUUGUUUUUUGGGGUUUUUUUUAAGAUAAUUGCUUCCUCAGGAACUGCUGAUCUUAUUUGCACACCUUUUCGUUGUAGGUUAAAUCAAAUCCAUUUUGGAAAAGGGAGCACAAAUUUGAAGCAGGUCAGAUUUUGCAAAGCACUUGAAGCAGCGUAGCCUAGCUACUUCUGUAUCAGGAAACCUAUAAGCUGUUGAGCCUUUCUCUUCAGAAAUUUGCUAUAACCAGCCCUAAGUCCAGAUGACAACCCGGAAAUUUUCUUCCUGGGCUUAGCAAAGCCUGUGCACCCUUGAUGGUAUUUAGUAAUUGGUUAUAUAGUGCUGUGUUUUGUUUUGUUUUGGUCAGGCUUUGGGAAAAUCCCUAAGGAACCAGAGGAUUUUAACAUCACACUGCAGUAAUACUUUCUAAUAAUUAUUAUUGAUAGGGUUCACAGGAUGUGAGCACUGGGUUUCAUCAUGGCACUGCAAGAAUGAGUGUCCCUUCCCAGAUGCAACAGUACCUUAGUUGUGGGCAAACUCCCUAGUCCUCCCCACAUAACAGAAAAUCAUGCUGGUUUGGUGCUCUGGACAACUCACCAGAGAAUCUACCUUCUGCAGAGAGCUGGAAACAGCAUGAGCAACUGAGAGAAACUUAGGCCAGCUUCUGUCCAGUUCAAACUGGUUGAGACCACCAAUUCUUCAAGUGCCUGAGAGAUGUCAGAGGGUCAAAAACUCCAACCUCAGAUUAUGCUAACACUGCCAUUUUUCUGUACACACGUCCCAUAUAAUGCCAUGAACUCUGGCUACAUUUGUGCAGGAUGAGCCUGUUACUUCAUUUUUUCCCAGUGCCAAUUACAUUUCCCCAUACCUCAGACCACCCCAUUUCCCUAAACCAUAAAUAUCCCUAAGCCUUAUCUUCAGGGAGGCUUAUUUCAGAGCUAUUCUCCCACCUCCUCACUCCAUGCCCUUGUGAAUAAACCUUUUUUUUCUUUUGCAAAACUCUUGUCACAGUAAUUGAUUUACUGUUCAGGGCAGAACACACUAGGACCUAGCUGGUAACAGUAUCUGAGUACCACUUAGCAUUGUAUGUGGUCAUGAAUAAAUAAAGUGACGGUUAAACAAGAAA
Macaca mulatta (Rhesus monkey) is the source of this 3302-nucleotide long non-coding RNA. RefSeq lists it as uncharacterized. The record is from RefSeq and is a predicted model, not a curated record. NCBI's taxonomy places the organism in Eukaryota, Metazoa, Chordata, Mammalia, Primates, Cercopithecidae.